Oryzias latipes (Japanese medaka) is the source of this 6531-nucleotide non-coding RNA. NCBI's taxonomy places the organism in Eukaryota, Metazoa, Chordata, Actinopteri, Beloniformes, Adrianichthyidae. The record is from RefSeq and is a predicted model, not a curated record.
AUCUGGCCCCAUUCACCUCAGCUGUUAGCCAGAAAUCCAAAGUCAGUUGCUUCUCCUGUAACCACACUGGUCAUAAGUCCUUCUCAAAACAAGAAAACACUCUACAAGUGCGAUGUUAGGAAAUCCUAGGCUUGGACAAGCUAACCAUGGAGAGGCGGCACAGCAGGCAGCAGCUUUUAGUCCGACAACAGAGCUUUAAGGAGUGGAAACGUGCAGAUCAUAAAGAAAGGAAAUGAACACCAGGUGUGCAGGGUGGAGCAAAGAUCAGAGUGGCGAACUUUCCAGGGUGGACCCGGCCCUCGCCCAACAGUUUCUGGGACCAACUCCAGCAGUCUUGUGACCCCAAAAAAGGAUUCAGUGGAAUCAGAAGAUGGAUGUCUGUUUCACAGGAUGUUUGUUGUAUAUGAAUUUGUUUAAUCUUGUACUGGCCAGCCGAAAGUAUAUUGAAAGCUUGUUUUGGGGCACUUGAGUUGAGCCCCCAAACCCUGAAGCAUCAGUCCACCCAGGUUAAUUUUUAGCACUCAAUGGUCACAUUUUUUCCUGGAAUGUAUUGGCGAGCUGUCCAGUGUUGGCUAAAAUGAAAAUGUGACGCUGAACUGGAAUUAGAUUUGGAAAAGGGAUGGAUGCAUGUUUUGUUGGUUGUUAAAUGCACUUGAGUUGAUUUAUAACUGAAAUUAUCCUCCAUAAAAUGUUCAAGUAUUUUGGGUCUGACUAGUGUAUUUCCACUACAAAAACUUUGGAUCUCUUUGAAGAAACAUAACUGAUAGUGGCCUGAUCUGGAGGUUUGUUCGUGUCCUUACUUUUAUAAAAAGUUUUCCUUCAGUUUUCUCCAUAUGGGGUGUUAUCAUGGACUAUGUAGAAGAACUGGACUAAGUGACCCGUUCCCCGCUGCCCCUUGCUUCCCAAACAGGAAGUACCCGCUUGCUCCAAGAUGCCAAAAUCCCAUAGACUUCGACUGAGAAAUAAACAGCGGUUACUUAGUCAUUCUAUUUGUCAGAAUAACCAUUCUCGCUCUGCUCUUGCUAUUCCUAAUGUUUUUCCUAAUUGACUUCAUUUAGUCUGAGCCAGGAGUGAACUGUUUUCUAUGGGUGACAUCAUGCUCACUCGGUUCAGUUCUUAAGGCCCUCGUCUCCAUUGAGCGGUACAGCACGGUCCGGUUCAGUUUACAAUGGCCCAGGCAAUUCAGGCGACUGUUUCCACUCAAAGUUGGACCGGCCGUAACGCCGCAUGCGCCGUGUAGACCAAUGCUGUAGCUUUGCGUCAUAGUACUGCGACUACAGCAAAGUGAAGCUAUCUACAACAACAACAGAGGUCAUCCAGCAGCUCGUUUUUUUCUGCUUGGCUUUUGGGACUUCAUCUAUACAAGUCAUUUAAUGUUGUUUGAGAGAAGAUUGCAGGCGGUGAAGAGGAAUACGCUGGCGAUGGUUUGGCACUUUCUUAUGUCGUAAUGACCUUUCGUCAAUCAACAGGUUUCAUUGUGUGACGACAGUGGUUCCGCCCAAACGGUACAUUUCAUUUUUCUAUUGACCUACAACCAACAAGGGUCCAGAAAUUAUACGGUUUGGUCCAUUUUCGAAUGGAAAUGCUCACAAAACCGGAAUGGACCGUACCGCUGAGUGGAAACAAGGCUAUAUACAAUCAGGUAUGAGAACUGGCUCCCCCUCAGAUUUGCCAAUAGUUUUAAUUAAAUUGGACAUUUUAUUGAUUUAAUUGAUGCUUUUUCUCUCCUUUAGGUGAUAAGUUCUUGACAUCUUGACCUUUCAGAUUUUUGGAUUUCUCUUUUGCAAAAUAAUUAGCUGAUAGUGAUCUGACUACACAGCCCUUUUAUCCCCACAACCAUCAAUUACACGCUUGUUCUGUGCUUCAGACGAGUUCACUUGUAAAACUGUCCAAAUUUCACACAGCAGAGGCAGAAUCCGCUCCUUUUCAUGCGUGGGGCCCUCUGGCACACAGUCCAACACUGCUGGCAUUUUGACAGCUGUAAUCUUAGAAUUUAACACACAUAGUUGAACUGUCACUGACUGCCUAUUUAUAAUUAGCACUUCUGUAGGUGCGCUUUUGAUUUAAAGCAUGUCUUCUUUGAAGGCUGCGAGAAUUCAAAGCAAGCAAGGUGAAGGAAAACAUGACAGGUUUGCAUGCAGGCGGGCCGUCACGCUGAACACUGUGACGUUUGAGUCCAGAGCUCCCCACAAAUGUUUAUUUGAGUCUUUAGGAGGCCAGGGUGAUGUCCGUACCCAGGAUUCACUCUCCAAUGACGUGCAUUCCCCAUGCAGGAGUCUGUUUGCAUCCUUGCAUUUAUUUUUUCAAUCACCCUGCUCUUCACGGCGUUCUGUCAUGUGAGGUUAUGAAUGUUCCAGUGAGGGCACCUCUUACCUUCUGUUGACUCAGUCAGAGCCGAAAGGAGAGGUGACGCUAUGAAACUGGACUCCUUACUCUCUGUAUAAAGUUGGGUCUAUAUAAAGACAAAAGUCCAUCACUCAACCUGCAUACAUACACUGACGUGCAUGUUUUUAUCACGUUUUAGUUCUAUUAGUUUCCCCACCAACUACUUUAAUUUGCCAAAACUUUGCUCUUUUUUUUGUUUUUUUCAAAAAAGUGCAUUCUUGAGCAUCUUCACUGGCUUGUUAGCAUUCAUCCACUGGUUCUAACAAGAAUAGCCACUCUGUUUCUCCGAGGGCCCCCUUUAAAAAAAAAAAAAAAAAAAAAAGAAAAAGAAAAAGCAUCACUUCCUUAACUCCAAAACCCGUCUUCUCUGCGCUUCUGGCGUCUGUGGGACUCUGGCUGCGAUUCCAGCCACUGAGAUACCUAGAAACUGGUCCUUGUGGUCCCGAUGAAAAGAUGGCUCUGUGUCUGGAAGUUCUGAGCCCAGAGAGUAGAAUUCUUCGGUGGCAGUGAAUGUUUGGAGUUUGGAAAUGGUGGUGCAGAGAAGGGAGGCUGCACGGUUGGCUCCUGGCUCAGCACCAAUGAGGCGCUUUUGGGGGAGCAUGGGGUCAGUCACAGUGAUGUUUCACGUGAACAAGUAAACAGGUUGUGUUUAAACAGUUCAAAAACAUGUUUGGACUGCAGACAUACAAACAAAAAAGACAUCUGUUCAAACUUUUUCAAAAACACUUUUCUGGAACUUCUUCUAACUGCAUUUAAAAUCUCAAACUAUUGCUGAAACUUGAAAAAGAUGUAUUGUAUUUUUAAACAUGAUAAGCUUUAAUGGCUCUAAUAAUGUUGGUGAGAAACUGAAGCAGCUUUCAAAUUUGGAUUAAACUUUACAAGAAACGUGUUCUAACAUGCAGACCUACAAGGAACAAGAACAAAGCUCUUUAAGCUUUGGAUACUUCAUGCAAGAAGAUGGAACCGUGAAUUAUUCAGAAAGCUCUUCUCAUUGAUGAUUGGUGUGACAACACAGCAAAAGACAAUAAUACUGAGGUAGAAGUUGCAAAGGAUGAAGGUUGACGGAAAGAGAAGAUGCUGGUUUUUCAUGAUGAGGAUGAGGAUGGGAACAUUAAUUGUUGUGUGUUUGUGUAAAAUGCAUCCUUCACAUCUGCUUUUUCCACUUUUAUUUAUCAAAGUUUUGAGUUCCUGACAUUAAGGGUGGUCUCCUGCAGUUUGAGUCCUUUAAAACCCGUUCCUGACCAAAACUUUCACUUGAAAUAUGCAAAAAGUAAAAAAGAAUUUGCCUAUAGAUAAGGCUAAAACUGCUUAUAACAAGCAAAUAAAGCUCCUGACCUUUUGUUCUGAUGGCAAAUGUGUUUAAUUUGAGUAAAUUCUCCUUAAUUAAAGACCUUGUCCAAUACGACCAUUUUGGUCAUUUGAACUUGUUCUUGUCGCAUUUUUUGACGAUGGAGGACAAAUAUAAAGAAAACUAAGCUGAUAAAGAAAGUGUUUAUUUAUUCAAAUUGUUGUAAAACCAGGAACAGUUGACAAAAGAGCUUAAUUGUGACGUAGAAUCCACCAUUGGUGGGCCAUACGCUCCACUUGUAGACGACUAGAUCCAUGUACAUAAUCGGUUUCUCCUGUAAGCCAGCAGGAGAGCAUGUAAGCAAAAGGAUGAUGGGAAAUGAGGGAAGGCUUACUCCGUACCAAAGGUCCCACCCACACCUCGAAGGUAAAAUUCUAAAGAACUUCUGCCGCUCCAAAGAUAAUUAUGUCCAAAAGAACGUUAUUUUUUUUUAUUUUGGCUAAAACCAGUGUUAUCAUAAUUGAAAGACUACCGAUAGAAUGAUACAUUCUUCAAAUGUAUCAUUCUAUCAGUAAAAUUAUACCUGUUUAUGAUUUUGUCACUUGUCAAAUGAAAUAAUGUAAUCUGACUAGAAAUUAGACAAUUUUAUUUCAUAAAUAAUCAAAACUCUGCAUAAAAAAGCAAAUAAAUAUUUGUAGGAUCCCGGUCAGAUCACAUCAUCCAGCUCCUCCCAGUCACGCAAUAAUUCUGUCACACCAUAAAAGACAUUUAAAAAAAAGGUAGAUGUGACAACACUUUGCAAAAACUCCUUUCUGCUCGACCUUAUUACCAAUUGUAUAAAAAUGUUCUGUAUUUUUUUCCAUUCAAGGUGAAGCUGGUGGAGUCCUAGAUGAGAUGGCGCGCUACGAAUCAGCGACAUUUGGCGUGAAGGGGUUCAGAUCAGGACAACAAAAACGAAUGUCUUUUGUAUCAAAGCAGUUUUGGGUCACAGGUGUGGAAUAAGCCAUGGCCACAUUUUUCCUUAAUCACCUCACAGGCCUCGCACGACUUAACAAUCCAGCUUUGAACAUCACUCACAAACCGCAGGUUAGAAUGUUUUUGUCACAGAACACAUCAGAAGCUCAAACAACAAUACUUCUUUAUAGUUUUUAGAAGACUGUCUGUCCUUUUAAAAGGAAUAUUUAAAAAAAAAAAAAAACGUGUUCAUUCUGAGUCUGAGGAAUGAUUUAAGGCAGAGAAACAGCAUUCCAAGGUGAUAGGGCUUAAAACGCCUGCUUCACCUGAGUGGAAUGAAGGUCAUCUUUGAGAGGAAAGCCACAGAAAACCAGCCUGAAACUUUCAAGAGUCUUUUCAGAAAAGCGUCCAGAACAUCCCUGCAGACAAAUCAGCCUCCCCAUUUUUGUUACGGAAGCUGUGUUUCCUUCAGUAAGACAAGAUUUUUGCAUCUAUAAUAUAGACUGUUUGAUUUUGACUGAUCUCCUGAUUGCACUGUUGACAGUUCCUGACAGUUUCUUCAUUCUUUACUGUACGCACUAAACGCCGUCGUCUUGCAUGAGUCAUCAGAGUGGAAGUACAGUUUCUAUGAAACGAUCCAUCAAAAGUCUGGAAGUUUCAAUUGUUUGUAAUUCCAAUGUUUGAGAAGAAGCAACAAAAAAAACUACAGACUCUGAAGUAAUUCACCCUUUUUUUGAAGAUGUAAAAUGAGGGAUUAACUAAAGAAACUGAGAAAGAUGAUUCACCCCUGAGGUUCAGUCUUUCCAGAAAAACAGAAACAGAUCAGUUUCUCAGGGCAGAAUUCCAAAGAACAUAUUUUAAACAGUUUAACCUGUUGAGAAAGGAUCUUGGGAAACUUGAGUGAGAAAUCUGUUGUUGAAUUCCCUCAAAAUUCAAGCAAACGGGCAGGGGGUGCAUGAAAAUCCAUCAGCUCACGGGUUUGGAAGGGCUGCAGCAUCCAGAAUUUGAAUAAAACAUUAUCUGACGCCACAUGUCAGCAGCUCUGUGCAGAAACGUUUUUAUUCAGGUAUAGGUUAAACAGAAAAUGAAAGAAAAGAACGAACCUUUCCUCUGCAUCCAGAUAAAUUCAUGUUUUAGCUUCAGGAAAAUUUGAGCUUAAUUAUUUAGGCUGCCUGUGAUGGUGCCGAAGACAGACCUAAUAUUUGAUUUAUUUUCCAGAAAGUUAGUCAAAAACAGACUUUGUUUCUUCCUGAGUUUCAAGUUUUGCAUGAUGAUGAGAGAAAUUUUCCUCCUAAAUUUAACAUGAAGUUCGUAUAGAAUGCAUGUCAUGACUGUCAUUUUGUCAUUUGUGAUCUCUCUGUUUGAAAAUGUGCGUGCUCAUCCACAUGCCGCUGCAGAGAAGAAUGGUAUACUUCAGGUUCUUUGCUGCUCUCUCAUUUUUAUAACACUCUGCAUAAAACAAUUCCACUAAAGGUAAUAAAAUGCUGAACAGGUAAAGAUUAAAAUGCUAUGAUUUUAUUUUUACUAAAAUGGUCAGAAAAGCUGACUCGGCUCAUUCUGAAGGCUGAAUGAUUGCCUUUCAGUGAGGGUCUCGGUUCCACUGUGGCUUACGCACAAGAACACCUGGGACUCCCCACAACGUGGCAAAUGGAAGAACAACCGCACGCCCACUCAGGGCUGAAGUCUUUGCUUAACGGGGCCAAACAAAACACGAACCCUCAAGAUGGUCAGAGCUUCUACGCUGCUCUGCUUUCCAUGAAUGUGCAGAGCUGAACACAAGGUUUUCCAAGGCUAAGGCCAAUGAAACCACACAGUCAUGUAAGUUUAUAGGAUUUCUGGAUUUACAAGCCAAAUGUAGAAAUGAAUGUUUCAAACAUAAAACCAAACCUUACUGCAAUAAAUCA